CGCCUUUUGUUAAAAUAUAAAAGGUCCAGCCUGCCCAGUGAUAAAAUUCAACGGCCAUGGUAUUAUGACCAUGCGAAGGUAGCAUAAUCACUUGUUCUUUAAAUGAGGACUAGUAUCAACGGCACCACGAGGGCUAAACUGUCUCCUUUCUCCAAUCAGUGAAACUGAUCUUCCCGUGAAGAAGCGGGAAUAACUUUAUAAGACGAGAAGACCCCAUGGAGCUUUAAAUUUAUUAAUUCACCUCUUAAAACGCCUACAACAUUACACCAACUGAGCACUGAAUUUUAAUUUUAGGUUGGGGUGACCACGGAGUAAAAUUUAACCUCCACGAUGAAAGGCCACUGCCUAAUUUAAGAGUAACCACUCUAAAAAUCAACCACUUGACACUCUGAUCCAAUUAUUAUUGAUCAACGAACCAAGUUACCCUGGGGAUAACAGCGCAAUCCAUUUAGAGAGCUCCUAUCGACAAAUGGGAUUACGACCUCGAUGUUGGAUCAGGGUAUCCUAGUGGUGCAGCCGCUACUAACGGUUCGUUUGUUCAACGAUUAAAACCCU
Molecule: ribosomal RNA, 555 nt
Filed under: Odontobatrachus smithi
Lineage: Eukaryota; Metazoa; Chordata; Amphibia; Anura; Odontobatrachidae
Description: partial 16S ribosomal RNA
Rfam family: Bacterial large subunit ribosomal RNA
Source: RNAcentral